RNAcentral lists this ribosomal RNA (359 nucleotides) under uncultured bacterium. Its description in RNAcentral is "bacterial SSU rRNA". It matches the Rfam family "Bacterial small subunit ribosomal RNA", at positions 68 to 423 of the family's 1533-position model. The record is from RNAcentral.
UCCAUCCGGUGGCAACACUGGUGAAGACCGAGUGGCGAACGGGUGAGUAACACGUGAGCAACCUGCCCCGAAGACCGGGAUAACCCCGGGAAACCGAAGCUAAUACCGGAUGUCCCCACCGGGUCGUAUGGCCUGGCGAGGAAAUGGAUUCCGCUUCGGGAGGGGCUCGCGGCCUAUCAGCUUGUUGGUGGGGUAACGGCCCACCAAGGCUUCGACGGGUAGCUGGUCUGAGAGGACGAUCAGCCACACUGGGACUGAGACACGGCCCAGACUCCUACGGGAGGCAGCAGUGGGGAAUCUUGCGCAAUGGGCGAAAGCCUGACGCAGCAACGCCGCGUGAGGGACGAAGGCCUUCUGGG